GCCCCUAGCUCGGCUCAUCGAGCGCCCAACCCAGGGGACUCAAAAUCCCCCGCUGCAAGGCGUGCCGGGUCGAUUCCGGUUCGGGGCACCA
RNAcentral lists this transfer RNA (91 nucleotides) under Comamonas testosteroni. Its description in RNAcentral is "tRNA-Leu". The record is from RNAcentral. Lineage: Bacteria; Pseudomonadati; Pseudomonadota; Betaproteobacteria; Burkholderiales; Comamonadaceae. RNAcentral also lists the same sequence under 1 other name.